Long non-coding RNA from Sebastes umbrosus (honeycomb rockfish), 264 nucleotides. RefSeq lists it as uncharacterized. NCBI's taxonomy places the organism in Eukaryota, Metazoa, Chordata, Actinopteri, Perciformes, Sebastidae. The record is from RefSeq and is a predicted model, not a curated record. The transcript has 2 exons.
UCAUAGUCAAAUAUGUUUCAAAAUCAGUAUCUUUAAAAAUAGAAAAGGGUAAAAAAAAAAAAAAAAGCAUAAAGCAUAAAGUACUCUCAUGAGUACUCCUGCUCGGCAGGCGGCGAAACUACUUCCGACAAAAGCGGAAAUGACGACACGUCAGAGUUGCACUUCACUCCACGUGUGAGAGCAGUAGAGUCCACAUUGGCAGCUCCGCAGCUCCACCAUGAAGCGACCAAAGUUAAAGAAAGCGAGUAAGAAGCUCACAUGCUC